UUGUGCUUCAAACAGGAAAACCAGCAGAAAUAAAUCACAGCCUGCCAGAGGUUUGGAGUUUCCGAGGUGCAACUGAACGCAGCACAGUGUUCCAAUGCUCCUGAUUGUCCUCAAACGUCUCUUUGGGUGUUUCCUUCCUGCUCAAAGUUUACUUUCACUUCCUGAACUUCGUGGAGUGGAGCUUGUUGUUGGUGUGUGAAGAAACUCUCCUUAGAUCACAUGACCUGGAUGACUGAACCUACAGACAUAUUGACCUGGUUUCAUGGUCACAUGACAGACUGACUGAAGAUGAUGAUGGAGGAAGAGGAGGACAGAGCAGAGUCUGCAGGGUCCAGCUGUCCGUCUGUAUGGAGUGACGAGUCCAAAGGCGACGUUCCAGACUUCAGUGGUGAACCUGGAGC
This is a non-coding RNA of Maylandia zebra (zebra mbuna), 401 nucleotides long. NCBI's taxonomy places the organism in Eukaryota, Metazoa, Chordata, Actinopteri, Cichliformes, Cichlidae. The record is from RefSeq and is a predicted model, not a curated record.